RNAcentral lists this ribosomal RNA (1343 nucleotides) under uncultured bacterium. RNAcentral's name for it is "16S ribosomal RNA". It matches the Rfam family "Bacterial small subunit ribosomal RNA", at positions 28 to 1378 of the family's 1533-position model. The record is from RNAcentral.
GACGAACGUUGGCGGCGUGCUUAACACAUGCAAGUCGAACGGAAAGGCCCUGCUUUUGUGGGGUGCUCGAGUGGCGAACGGGUGAGUAACACGUGAGUAACCUGCCCUUGACUUUGGGAUAACUUCAGGAAACUGGGGCUAAUACCGGAUAGGAGCUCCUGCUGCAUGGUGGGGGUUGGAAAGUUUCGGCGGUUGGGGAUGGACUCGCGGCUUAUCAGCUUGUUGGUGGGGUAGUGGCUUACCAAGGCUUUGACGGGUAGCCGGCCUGAGAGGGUGACCGGCCACAUUGGGACUGAGAUACGGCCCAGACUCCUACGGGAGGCAGCAGUGGGGAAUAUUGCACAAUGGGCGGAAGCCUGAUGCAGCAACGCCGCGUGCGGGAUGACGGCCUUCGGGUUGUAAACCGCUUUCGCCUGUGACGAAGCGUGAGUGACGGUAAUGGGUAAAGAAGCACCGGCUAACUACGUGCCAGCAGCCGCGGUGAUACGUAGGGUGCGAGCGUUGUCCGGAUUUAUUGGGCGUAAAGGGCUCGUAGGUGGUUGAUCGCGUCGGAAGUGUAAUCUUGGGGCUUAACCCUGAGCGUGCUUUCGAUACGGGUUGACUUGAGGAAGGUAGGGGAGAAUGGAAUUCCUGGUGGAGCGGUGGAAUGCGCAGAUAUCAGGAGGAACACCAGUGGCGAAGGCGGUUCUCUGGGCCUUUCCUGACGCUGAGGAGCGAAAGCGUGGGGAGCGAACAGGCUUAGAUACCCUGGUAGUCCACGCUGUAAACGGUGGGUACUAGGUGUGGGGUCCAUUCCACGGGUUCCGUGCCGUAGCUAACGCUUUAAGUACCCCGCCUGGGGAGUACGGCCGCAAGGCUAAAACUCAAAGGAAUUGACGGGGCCCCGCACAAGCGGCGGAGCAUGCGGAUUAAUUCGAUGCAACGCGUAGAACCUUACCUGGGUUUGACAUGGAUCGGGAGUGCUCAGAGAUGGGUGUGCCUCUUUUGGGGUCGGUUCACAGGUGGUGCAUGCCUGUCGUCAGCUCGUGUCGUGAGAUGUUGGGUUAAGUCUCGCAACGAGCGCAACCCUUGUUCACUGUUGCCAGCACGUUAUGGUGGGGACUCAGUGGAGACCGCCGGGGUCAACUCGGAGGAAGGUGGGGAUGACGUCAAGUCAUCAUGCCCCUUAUGUCCAGGGCUUCACGCAUGCUACAAUGGCUGGUACAGAGAGUGGCGAGCCUGUGAGGGUGAGCGAAUCUCGGAAAGCCGGUCUCAGUUCGGAUUGGGGUCUGCAACUCGACCUCAUGAAGUCGGAGUCGCUAGUAAUCGCAGAUCAGCAACGCUGCGGUGAAUACGUUCCCGGG